GUCGUGAGAUGUUGGGUUAAGUCCCGCAACGAGCGCAACCCCCGUCGCAUGUUGCCAGCAUUUAGUUGGGGACUCAUGCGAGACUGCCGGUGACAAACCGGAGGAAGGUGGGGAUGACGUCAAGUCAUCAUGCCCCUUAUGUUCAGGGCUACACACGUGCUACAUUGGCGCGUACAGAGGGCUGCGAUACCGCGAGGUGGAGCGAAUCCCUUAAAGCGCGUCUCGGUUCGGAUCGCAGGCUGAAACUCGCCUGCGUGAAGGCGGAGUUGCUAGUAAUCGCAGAUCAGCAAUGCUGCGGUGAAUACGUUCCCGGGCCUUGUACACACCGCCCGUCACACCACGGAAGCAAGCAACACCCGAAGCCGGUGGCCUAACCCGCAAGGGAGGGAGCUGUCGAAGGUGGGGCUCGUGACUGGGGUGAAGUCGUAACAAGGUAGCCGUACCGGAAGGUGCGGCUGGAUCACCUCCUUUCUAGGGAGCACCAGGACUGGUGCGCCCACGUACCGCUCGAGUCCACCAUUCCGGUGGCCGGGUGCGUCGUGGGUUCCUAGCAUGUCGACCGGGCUUGGACACUGCGUUUCCGCUUAGGCGGCGACGUUGCAUGCUGUUGAGUUUUGAGAGACCGGCGCCCGCCGGGCGAGCUCGGAAGUCUCGAGCCGCACGUGCCGGCGCAUGUCGCCUCCACGGACCUUGAAAACUGCACAGAGCCAAGAAUUAACGGGUAUCACCGGGCCGCUCCUGCAAAAGGGCGGCCUGAUCACCGUCAAGAUAUGAAGGGCACACGGUGGAUGCCUUGGCACCAGGAGUCGAUGAAGGGCGUGGACGGCUGCGAUAAGCCGCGGUGAGGCGCUGAACAGCCUUUGACCCGCGGAUUC
This 875-nucleotide small RNA is filed under the name uncultured Patulibacter sp. RNAcentral's name for it is "bacterial SSU rRNA". The stretch from base 1 to 471 matches the Rfam family "Bacterial small subunit ribosomal RNA", at positions 1064 to 1533 of the family's 1533-position model. The record is from RNAcentral. Lineage: Bacteria; Bacillati; Actinomycetota; Thermoleophilia; Solirubrobacterales; Patulibacteraceae.